This 468-nucleotide ribosomal RNA is filed under the name uncultured bacterium. RNAcentral's name for it is "partial 16S ribosomal RNA". It matches the Rfam family "Bacterial small subunit ribosomal RNA", at positions 28 to 507 of the family's 1533-position model. The record is from RNAcentral.
GACGAACGCUGGCGGCGUGCUUAACACAUGCAAGUCGAACGGAAAGGCCCUGCUUUUGUGGGGUGCUCGAGUGGCGAACGGGUGAGUAACACGUGAGUAACCUGCCCUUGGCUUUGGGAUAACUUCAGGAAACUGGGGCUAAUACCGGAUAGGAGCUCCUGCUGCAUGGUGGGGGUCGGAAAGUUUCGGCGGUUGGGGAUGGACUCGCGGCUUAUCAGCUUGUUGGUGGGGUAGUGGCUUACCAAGGCUUUGACGGGUAGCCGGCCUGAGAGGGUGACCGGCCACAUUGGGACUGAGAUACGGCCCAGACUCCUACGGGAGGCAGCAGUGGGGAAUAUUGCACAAUGGGCGGAAGCCUGAUGCAGCAACGCCGCGUGCGGGAUGACGGCCUUCGGGUUGUAAACCGCUUUCGCCUGUGACGAAGCGUGAGUGACGGUAAUGGGUAAAGAAGCACCGGCUAACUACGUG